UAUGUCUUACAUAUCGUGAUAGUCGCUUAUUUGGAGUCGGCUUUCUGCUGCAGAAAACCACCGGUUUGUGAAUUUUCAUACAUGUUUUUAUAGCAGCGUUUUUGCAAAUAUAACAGAGACCACCUUACAUACAAUACAUAAACUACAGUUACACUUCACAGACGAGGAAUUGCUGCGGAAGGUGUGUGUUGAAGAGCUAGGUGGCCCAACUAUUGUGGUUUUUAGAAAGGAAAGCUCGUAUGCGCGUAUUUCUACCAUUGUCUCAUGUGGUGCUACGGACAAUUUCAUAGGAGACAUAGAGCGUGUUGUGUAUGAUGGUGCAAAUACCUGUUUAACAUGUGACGGUUAUUAUGUGCCUAGUACUGCUACCUCUGAAAUGAAUUUGACUUCCGAACUGGCUGUCCACGUCGAUACCUUACCCCGUCUAGAACAAUUUUCUGUACGUAGAUAUAUGCGCAACACCUACACGAGCAAAUUCUCGCGCUUUAAGUCUACAAUUACAGAUAUGUUGUAAUGAUAUAUUUGUGAGUUAUUUUUAAGUUUUUGGUUUACAGGUUUUUGAUUUCUGCCUGAAGUAAGUGCAGCGUUCCAACACCUAUACGAGCA
Anastrepha obliqua is the source of this 606-nucleotide long non-coding RNA. RefSeq lists it as uncharacterized. The record is from RefSeq and is a predicted model, not a curated record. Lineage: Eukaryota; Metazoa; Arthropoda; Insecta; Diptera; Tephritidae. The transcript is spliced from 3 exons.